AGAUUGAACGCUGGCGGCAGGCCUAACACAUGCAAGUCGAGCGGCAGCACGGGUACUUGUACCUGGUGGCGAGCGGCGGACGGGUGAGUAAUGCCUAGGAAUCUGCCUGGUAGUGGGGGAUAACGCUCGGAAACGGACGCUAAUACCGCAUACGUCCUACGGGAGAAAGCAGGGGACCUUCGGGCCUUGCGCUAUCUGAUGAGCCUAGGUCGGAUUAGCUAGUUGGUGAGGUAAUGGCUCACCAAGGCGACGAUCCGUAACUGGUCUGAGAGGAUGAUCAGUCGCACUGGAACUGAGACACGGUCCAAGACUCCUACGGGAGCAGCAGUGGGGGAAAUA
Molecule: ribosomal RNA, 339 nt
Filed under: uncultured soil bacterium
Lineage: Bacteria
Description: bacterial SSU rRNA
Rfam family: Bacterial small subunit ribosomal RNA
Source: RNAcentral